UACGGAGGGUGCAAGCGUUAUCCGGAUUCACUGGGUUUAAAGGGUGCGUAGGUGGGCAGGUAAGUCAGUGGUGAAAUCUCCGGGCUUAACUCGGAAACUGCCAUUGAUACUAUCUGUCUUGAAUACCGUGGAGGUUAGCGGAAUAUGUCAUGUAGCGGUGAAAUGCUUAGAUAUGACAUAGAACACCAAUUGCGAAGGCAGCUGGCUACACGAAUAUUGACACUGAUGCACGAAAGCGCGGGGAUCAAACAGG
RNAcentral lists this ribosomal RNA (253 nucleotides) under uncultured bacterium. Its description in RNAcentral is "partial 16S ribosomal RNA". It matches the Rfam family "Bacterial small subunit ribosomal RNA", at positions 524 to 776 of the family's 1533-position model. The record is from RNAcentral.